AGUGACGAUAGCCUAGGAGAUACACCUGUACCCAUGCCGAACACAGCAGUUAAGCCCUAAGAACGCCUGAUGUAGUUGGGGGUGCCCCCUGUGAGAUAAGGUAGUCGCUUAGCU
This 114-nucleotide ribosomal RNA is filed under the name Streptococcus pyogenes. Lineage: Bacteria; Bacillati; Bacillota; Bacilli; Lactobacillales; Streptococcaceae. The record is from RNAcentral.